This is a long non-coding RNA of Sarcophilus harrisii (Tasmanian devil), 370 nucleotides long. RefSeq lists it as uncharacterized. The record is from RefSeq and is a predicted model, not a curated record. Lineage: Eukaryota; Metazoa; Chordata; Mammalia; Dasyuromorphia; Dasyuridae. The transcript has 4 exons.
GGGGUCAAAUCCAGUCUCACAUUAAUCCAAAAAUGAUCAGAAGAAGCCACCAUAUCACUGACAGCCACUGAUCUCUCAGUAGACCCCCCUGAUCUCAUUCUACAGUUGAGCAGCAAGUGUCAGUAAUAAUCAAUGCCUUCUAUCUCAUUCACCACUUGCAGCCCAAGUUGUCAGUAGGACCAAGAUCUACUAUCUCAUUGACCAGUUGCAGCCCAAGUUGUCAGUAAGGACAAAGAUGUACUGUAAGUAUGGUCACAUCGCCAUAUUCCUGUUCUCUUUAGCUUGAGUUACCUUUUAAAGUCCAGCCUCGUACUGGGAAGUUUUCAUCAAUGUCUUUGCCAGUGGCAUCCUCCUCCAAUUGUGGUUACAA